ACAAAUUUGUAUUAGGGAUAUAAUUUAAAAAAAAAAAUAAAAAAUAAAAAACAAAAACAAAAACAAAACCCUUUCACGGGUGAAGAGAAGUGCCUCAUGCCGACAAACCUAAAAUCAGGGUCAUCUCUGCAACUUCCAUCUCUGUGACCUCCACCUCCGUUAUCUCCGACUUCAAAUCCGCCUCCUCCACACUAUCUCGCCGUCAUCUCCAUCGUAGAGGAGGAACCCUAAGUCGCCUUCAUCUGAAAUAUCUUCAUCACCUCCGAAGAUUUUAACGAUAAGUAUUUGAGAAUUAGUUUGUACUAGAUUGAGGACAGAGUUUUUAGAUGAUUUGUGAGUUCUUUGACCAUCAAUGGAGAGAAGGAGAUCACCAAGAACUGGAACUACAUUUUUCCCUAAAAGCCCGCUUGUCUACGAGAGUUAUAAGUCUGGUUGUAGUAGGAAACUGGCUUCACGAGAAAUGUCAGUGUAAUGAUGUAAGUGUAUUAUAAAUUGUUUUUGGAGAAACUGAAUCUCUUGAUCUCUUCAGCGGAUUGUAGAAGAAGAACAUUCAUGUAAGCAGAGCAUAAAUGAGAUGAUCUUUAAGCUAUGAAACAGAAGAUGAAUCAUGAGAGCUA
This is a long non-coding RNA of Brassica oleracea var. oleracea, 617 nucleotides long. RefSeq lists it as uncharacterized. Lineage: Eukaryota; Viridiplantae; Streptophyta; Magnoliopsida; Brassicales; Brassicaceae. The transcript is spliced from 2 exons. The record is from RefSeq and is a predicted model, not a curated record.